AGAGUUUGAUCAUGGCUCAGAUUGAACGCUGGCGGCAGGCCUAACACAUGCAAGUCGAACGGUAACAGGAAGCAGCUUGCUGCUUUGCUGACGAGUGGCGGACGGGUGAGUAAUGUCUGGGAAACUGCCUGAUGGAGGGGGAUAACUACUGGAAACGGUAGCUAAUACCGCAUAACGUCGCAAGACCAAAGAGGGGGACCUUAGGGCCUCUUGCCAUCGGAUGUGCCCAGAUGGGAUUAGCUAGUAGGUGGGGUAAAGGCUCACCUAGGCGACGAUCCCUAGCUGGUCUGAGAGGAUGACCAGCCACACUGGAACUGAGACACGGUCCAGACUCCUACGGGAGGCAGCAGUGGGGAAUAUUGCACAAUGGGCGCAAGCCUGAUGCAGCCAUGCCGCGUGUAUGAAGAAGGCCUUCGGGUUGUAAAGUACUUUCAGCGGGGAGGAAGGGAGUAAAGUUAAUACCUUUGCUCAUUGACGUUACCCGCAGAAGAAGCACCGGCUAACUCCGUGCCAGCAGCCGCGGUAAUACGGAGGGUGCAAGCGUUAAUCGGAAUUACUGGGCGUAAAGCGCACGCAGGCGGUUUGUUAAGUCAGAUGUGAAAUCCCCGGGCUCAACCUGGGAACUGCAUCUGAUACUGGCAAGCUUGAGUCUCGUAGAGGGGGGUAGAAUUCCAGGUGUAGCGGUGAAAUGCGUAGAGAUCUGGAGGAAUACCGGUGGCGAAGGCGGCCCCCUGGACGAAGACUGACGCUCAGGUGCGAAAGCGUGGGGAGCAAACAGGAUUAGAUACCCUGGUAGUCCACGCCGUAAACGAUGUCGACUUGGAGGUUGUGCCCUUGAGGCGUGGCUUCCGGAGCUAACGCGUUAAGUCGACCGCCUGGGGAGUACGGCCGCAAGGUUAAAACUCAAAUGAAUUGACGGGGGCCCGCACAAGCGGUGGAGCAUGUGGUUUAAUUCGAUGCAACGCGAAGAACCUUACCUGGUCUUGACAUCCACGGAAGUUUUCAGAGAUGAGAAUGUGCCUUCGGGAACCGUGAGACAGGUGCUGCAUGGCUGUCGUCAGCUCGUGUUGUGAAAUGUUGGGUUAAGUCCCGCAACGAGCGCAACCCUUAUCCUUUGUUGCCAGCGGUCCGGCCGGGAACUCAAAGGAGACUGCCAGUGAUAAACUGGAGGAAGGUGUGGAUGACGUCAAGUCAUCAUGGCCCUUACGACCAGGGCUACACACGUGCUACAAUGGCGCAUACAAAGAGAAGCGACCUCGCGAGAGCAAGCGGACCUCAUAAAGUGCGUCGUAGUCCGGAUUGGAGUCUGCAACUCGACUCCAUGAAGUCGGAAUCGCUAGUAAUCGUGGAUCAGAAUGCCACGGUGAAUACGUUCCCGGGCCUUGUACACACCGCCCGUCACACCAUGGGAGUGGGUUGCAAAAGAAGUAGGUAGCUUAACCUUCGGGAGGGCGCUUACCACUUUGUGAUUCAUGACUGGGGUGAAGUCGUAACAAGGUAACCGUAGGGGAACCUGCGGUUG
This 1522-nucleotide ribosomal RNA is filed under the name Escherichia coli. RNAcentral describes it as "bacterial SSU rRNA". It matches the Rfam family "Bacterial small subunit ribosomal RNA". The record is from RNAcentral. Lineage: Bacteria; Pseudomonadati; Pseudomonadota; Gammaproteobacteria; Enterobacterales; Enterobacteriaceae.